Sceloporus undulatus (fence lizard) is the source of this 3500-nucleotide RNA transcript. It is a transcript of the gene named meiosis regulator for oocyte development, with no coding region annotated. Lineage: Eukaryota; Metazoa; Chordata; Lepidosauria; Squamata; Phrynosomatidae. The transcript has 12 exons. The record is from RefSeq and is a predicted model, not a curated record.
GCCAAUCUCUCCAAAGCCGGAAGUGGGUGCUGCAGAGGCACUCUCUUUCUGGGAGAGGUGUUUCCCUGCUGCUGUUCCUCCUCCUGUUCCCGGCUGGGCUUCGUGGAAAACAGUGUCCAUAUGAAUGAGCACAGCUCUGUUCUUCCAACUACACUUUUAAGUACUUGUGUCCAUUUGCCAUAGCAGACAUGAGUGGCUCCAAACCUGACAUUCUUUGGGCUCCCCACCAUGUGGAUAGAUUUGUUGUAUGUGAUUCAGAACUCAGUCUCUACCACAUUGAAUCUGCUGUAAGUUCAGAACUCAAAGCAGGGUCACUGCGUUUAUCUGAAGAAACUACAGCCACCCUAUUGUCCAUCAAUUCAGACACUCCAUAUCUGAAAUGUGUAGCUUGGUAUCCUAAGUAUGAUCCUGAAUGUCUUCUGGCAGUUGGGCAAGCCAAUGGUCGAGUUGUGCUUACUAGUCUCGGCCAAGAUCACAACUCAAAGUGCAAAGAUUUGAUAGGAAAAGAGUUUGUUCCAAAACAUGCACGACAAUGUAACACUCUAGCAUGGAAUCCGCUAGACAGUAAUUGGCUUGCUGCUGGCCUGGAUAAACACCGGGCUGACUUUUCAGUGCUUAUCUGGGACAUCAGUAGCAAAUAUACUCCAGAAACUCCAAUUACUACUGAGAAAGUAAAGCUGUCGGCUGGAGAUACUGAAGCAGGACUGGUUGUAACCAAACCGCUUUAUGAAUUGGGGCAGAAUGAUGCUUGCCUUUCUCUUUGUUGGCUUCCACGGGAUCAGAAACUUCUUUUAGCUGGAAUGCACCGAAACCUGGCUAUCUUUGACCUUAGGAAUACAAGCCAAAAAAUGUUUGUGAAUACCAAGGCUGUUCAGGGUGUAACUGUUGAUCCAUACUUCCAUGAUCGUGUAGCUUCCUUCUAUGAAGGUCAAGUGGCCAUAUGGGACCUUAGAAAAUUUGAAAAACCUGUGUUAACCCUAACAGAACAACCGAAACCUUUAACAAAAGUAGCAUGGUGUCCUACUAGAACUGGAUUACUGGCUACUUUAACCAGGGAUAGUAACAUCAUCAAGCUCUAUGAUAUGCAGCACACUCCUACACCUAUAGGGGAUGAAACUGAACCUACAAUCAUUGAAAGAAGUGUGCAGCCUUGUGAACACUAUAUUGCUUCCUUUGCAUGGCAUCCUACAAAUCAAAAUCGCAUGGUAGUUGUGACUCCCAGUAGGACUAUGUCUGACUUCACUGUGUUUGAAAGGAUCUCCUUGGCAUGGAGCCCAGUCACUUCUUUAAUGUGGGCAUGCGGGAGACACUUGUAUGAAUGCACAGAGGAAGGGGAGGCAAGUUCCUUGGAAAAAGACAUUGCCACCAAAAUGCGUCUAAGAGCUUUAUCCAGGUAUGGCCUUGACACGGAACAGGUCUGGAGAAACCAUGUUCUAGCUGGAAAUGAAGACCCACAACUGAAGUCGCUUUGGUACACUCUGCACUUUAUGAAACAGUAUAACGAUGAUAUGGAUCAGAAAUGCACAGGAAAUAAAGGAUCCUUAGUUUACGCAGGCAUCAAAUCGAUAGUGAAAACAUCUAUGGGAACAACAGAGAACCUCAGGCACAGCAGGAGUGGAUCUGACAGGCAGGCAGAUAUUAUUCAGUAUCUGAGUGAAGAAAGGUCAUUGGCUUUACAGCUUUGUGGGUGGAUAAAGAAAGGCACAGAUUUGGAUGUGGAACCCUUUCUACAUUCCUUGGAACAAGAAGGAGACUGGGAGCGAGCUGCUGCUGUAGCCCUAUUCAACUUGGACAUCCGACGAGCAAUACAGAUACUGAACAAAGGAGCUUCUUCUGGAAAAGGUGAUCUAAAUCUCAACGUUGUGGCCAUGGCACUGUCAGGUUACACAGAUGAAAAGAACUCCUUGUGGAGGGAGAUGUGUAGCACUCUAAGGUUACAGCUCAACAACCCAUACCUGUGUGCCAUGUUUGCUUUUCUGACAAGUGAAUCGGGUUCUUAUGAUGGGGUUUUGUAUGAAAGUAAUGUAGCUGUACGAGACAGAGUGGCAUUUGCUUGCAAAUUUCUGACUGAUGCCCAGCUGAACAGAUUCAUUGAAAAACUAACCAAUGAAAUGAAAGAAGCUGGGAACCUUGAAGGAAUCCUACUGACAGGACUCACAAAGGAUGGAGUAGACUUAAUGGAAAGUUAUGUUGAUAGAACAGGAGACGUUCAGACAGCAAGCUACUGUAUGCUACAGGGUUCUCCCUCUGAUGUACUUAAAGAUGAACGGGUUCAAUAUUGGAUUGAAAACUACCGUAAUCUAUUAGAUGCAUGGAGGUUUUGGCAUAAACGAGCAGAAUUUGACAUCCAUCGCAGUAAACUGGAUCCCAGCUCCAAACCUUUAGCACAGGUAUUUGUAAGUUGCAACUUUUGCGGAAAAUCAAUCUCCUACAGCUGCUCAACCAUUCCACAUCAAGGCCGGGGUUUCAGUCAGUAUGGUGUAAGUGGAUCCCCAACCAAGUCGAAAGUCACAAGUUGUCCUGGUUGCCGCAAGCCUCUUCCUCGCUGUGCACUUUGCCUAAUAAAUAUGGGCACUCCAGUUUCUAGUUGCCCUGGAGGAUCCAAAUCAGAUGAAAAGGUGGACCUCAGCAAGGACAAGAAAUUAGCUCAGUUCAACAACUGGUUUACUUGGUGUCACAAUUGUAGGCAUGGUGGUCAUGCUGGACACAUGCUUAGCUGGUUCAGGGAUCAUACAGAAUGCCCUGUUUCUGCAUGUUCAUGUAAAUGUAUGCAGCUGGAUACCACCGGGAACCUCAUACCAGCAGAGAUGGUCCAACCAUAAAAUGACAGAACUCAAAUAACGACUUUCACAAUGGAGGCUCCUCUAAUACAUGUCCUUCACAACCCAAGUAGAUACCAUAGAUCCCUGGUGCUUCUUGAAAAGCUACUUGUGGGGAAUGGAAACAACCAGCAUUUGAAAAAUCAGAUUAUCCUAAAACACGGCAGUGGUGAGGGAGAAAAUCAAAAUCAAACUGGUCAUGCAGAUAUCCAUAUGGAAGCAACUUCCACUUCUACACAGGACACUUUGGAUCCAAGCCAGUUUGUACACAGACAUGGUUUUUAAAGGGAAAAACAAAUCUAAUUAAAACAUUUAUUUUUAUGUACUCAUCUGUGUUGGCCUUUAUUGAUUGCCUCACUCAAAGGCAACUUCCAGUCAAAAUUAUAUUUUUAUUGUUAAUCUAUAUUGAAAAGAAUACCACAGAAUCCAAAUUGUUAUUGUUUUUGUAAUACUGUCAAAAGAUCAGCAGACAUUUCAGUUUCUUUCUAGAAUUAAUUUUAAGCCAUUAAGAGCAAUGUAUAGACUUUAUUUUUGUGUCCUUGCUUUUGGAGUAUUAAGAGCAUAGAUAUUAACUUGGUUGUCUUCCCCUAUGUUAAAAAAAGGGUGUUAUGGAAAUAUGAACUGUUAAGGUGUAACUUGGCAUUCUGUUUGUGAAAUAAAAGGAGCCACAUUUUGACUAAA